Molecule: ribosomal RNA, 229 nt
Filed under: Providencia rettgeri
Lineage: Bacteria; Pseudomonadati; Pseudomonadota; Gammaproteobacteria; Enterobacterales; Morganellaceae
Description: partial 23S ribosomal RNA
Rfam family: Bacterial large subunit ribosomal RNA
Source: RNAcentral
GGUUAAGCGACUAAGCGUACACGGUGGAUGCCUAGGCAAUCAGAGGCGAUGAAGGACGUGCUAAUCUGCGAUAAGCGUCGGUAAGGUGAUAUGAACCGUUACAACCGACGAUUUCCGAAUGGGGAAACCCAGUGCAAUUCGUUGCACUAUCGUUUGAUGAAUACAUAGUCAAACGAAGCGAACCGGGGGAACUGAAACAUCUCAGUACCCCGAGGAAAAGAAAUCAACC